CGCGCGGGGUGCGCGGGGCUUCCCUGCCCUCCUGCUGCUCUCCGACCUGCCUCGCCCCUGGCCGUCCCAGCUCCCCGGGGUGCGCUCCGAUUGGGGCUGUACGAAACAGUUUCAGCACCAAAGACAUGGGAGUGACGAAGAUGCACGAGGCCUGGACCCUGCGGAGCUCACAUUCCGGUGGGAUAGAGACAGAAAACAGGCCCGUACUAUAAUAUCCGGUAACGGAAAGUAGGAAGAAGUAGGAAGGGCUAGAGAGUAACAUGCAGACUUGCUGGUAGGAAGGGCCUCUCUACGGGGUAUCAUUUGAACAAGAUGCCUCAAGGGGAGGAAGAGCCUCGGAUAGCAAGAUCUCGGACCAUGGAUAGAAGAGCGAAUGCAGAGGUCCUAGACCAAGGGCCGACUUAGUGUACUGGGAAAAGAAAGAUCAGUAUGGGUAGAAAAAUGUCACCGAGGAAAUGUCGCAGAAGGUAAAACAGAAAGGUGUGGGUAUUGUGUUUCAGUGACAAAGAAGGUGACUAAGAUUGAAGGAGAGCACUUGAGCACGAAGGUAGAAGGAGAAGAGGAAACAUUCAGAGAUUGUGCUUCAGGAUGGGAGGCCAGGCGGAGAAGGAAGAGCUGGCAACACAGCCAAGAGGGAGCAGCUGGCAAGCUUUCUUCCAGUCCCCAGUGCUGACCCUGCUCUCAAGCUGACCUUUUACCAGCAACUCCUAAGGCUGUGUACCCCAUGGGGUAGAGCCGCUUCUCUCACGGCUCAACCAUGGUUUUGGAACCAGGUCUCAGUGACCCUGAUUGGCCUGACUUGGGUUGCUGGCUCAUCCCUGAACCCACACUGCAGCCAGAAAGAUGGGGAGUCCUGGUUAGAUGAAGGAAAUUGAGAUUCAUUUUUGGAGACAGGCUAGGGUUCCUCUCACCCAAAUUCUGAGGUUGGAAAGGAUAGCAGAGGACAGUAUGCUAAGGCAGUAAUCAACAAAUUUCUGGAAUAGCAAGUGUUAGAGUUAAGGAUGGUUUCCAAAUCUCUAGCUUGAGCAUUCUGGAGGGAAAUAAGGAAGCUCUUCUAGAAAUCAGUUGUGAUGAGAAAUACAAUGCAUUGUAGCUACCAACUGGUCAUUGGUGAUUGUGCAUUGAAACGGGUUUCAGGGAAGUAGUGGGGACAGAUGCCAGACUACAGCAGUGAAAGAAUUAAAUGGAGUGAGCACAUUAUGGCAGGGCAAGUUGGCCUUCUUCGAAAAGCUUAGAACUAAAGAGUGAGAGAAAGCUAAAAGUAAUAACUAAAAGAAGCCAUGCAGUUAAAACAUUUUUUUAAUAUAAAAGAAAUUUGUGCAUGCUUAAACACUACACAAUAUGAGAAAGAUUAAAAUAAAAGACAUAGGAGAGAAACAGGAUAAUUAAUGGAUCGAGAUACCUAGGAACAAUGAGAUUCAGCAUACAACUAAAAUAAUCUUAAAGAAGAGUAAGGAACCAUUUUUACUGUCAUUGAAGGAAAGAGAUGAGGACAGAUGACAAUGAAUUACUGCAUGUGCAAUGGGGAGUGAAUGCAGGAAGUGGAGGGGGACCCCAUCUGAAGGUUUGUAGCUUCUUGCUGAAGUAGAUGUUACCUACUGCUGGGUGUAUGAAAGCCUCCGUGAAGAGAGGGUGGAUUAGGAAAGAAUGUAGAGCCCACAUCAUCUAGAGUGCAUGUGGCCUAUUAUCACGGACCCAGUCUCACCCACGAUCAUCAGCCAGUCCAAUGGCGGGAACAAUCUAUUUCUCAACUAUAGCCACCCAGGAGAUGACUUCACACUGCACCCAGACCCAACUGGAUGGAAGCCCAGAGUCUUCGCGCUUGGCCUCCCCUUCACAUUCUGUCUGGCUCUCUGCCCUCUCUCAGGCUCCCAGCUCUCUCCUCCCCUUCCCUGAGGCAGACUGGAGACAGCUUCGGUCCUUUGUGCUGAGCCCGGAGAGGCCAUGUUUAUUCCUACUGAAGCAGGUGGGGUCUCCUCGAGGGUCCUCCCAAGAAAACCCAACUUUUCUCUUCCUAAUGUUGAUCACCUCUCAUAGUAAUAACCAAACUGUGUAAUUUUGAGAAAAGGCCCCCUCUCCACCAGGCGAGAGAAUGGGAAGAAUGAAAAGAGGUGAAGGGCACAUAUAGAAGACUCCCAAGAAAGUAUCAAAGACCCAAUUGAGAUAAAAACCCAGAAAACAGAAAUACUGAUUUGUGUGUUGGUGUGACUUUCCUCAAACAAAAAAGAGGCAUCUGUGGUGUUGAACAGAAAAGAAAGCUGACAGAACUGGUAAAUACAAAAAGAUGCUGAAGUGAUGUGUAGGUCUAUGAAGUAGAAAACACAUGAGGUGCAAGAGCACCAACCUUCACUUCUGCCCUGGCUAGGAAUGCAUGGGGAAGUUCACUGCCAUUGUCGCAGUACAGGCGAGUGGGCUGAUGCUGGCAUUAAUGGGUGGCCAGUCAUCACCACUGUGGGCUCCUGGUAGAAAGAUGAAUUCGGGGCUAGGAUGUAGCUUGGAGGUGGAGCAAGUGCUUUGCAUGUGUGAGGCCCUGUGUUUGCUCCCCAGCACUGUUACAAAGAGCAGACUAAGUUGAGCUUGGCCAAUUUUCCUCUGUCUGGGUUUCUUUCUUGCCCUGUGCUGUGUUAUAUGAGGCAGUACGAAGGUCUUCUCCACGUACCAGUGCCAUGCCAUCCAGCCUCCAGCACCAUGAGACAAAAUAAACUUCUGCACUUCACAGGUAACCGAGUUGAUGGGGUUCUGCUACAGCAGCAGAGAACAGACUGAUACAGUUUCUUACUAAAAAUAAUACACGGGGACUAUUUAGUAUAUAUGUGGGGCUGGGGAUUUAGCUCAGUGGUUCUGCCGCCUGCCUCACAACCACAAGGACCCGAGUUCAAUCCCCAAUACCAAAAAAAAAAGAGUAUAUAUGUGUCUGAUGGUGUUGAGCUCUGAGGCCUCUAUUGUCUGAUUUUCUCUGGUUUCCAGUGAUGGAAUUUGUUUCCAGGGAUAGAAUUUGCCCCUGCUUUCAGUAUUUCCAUAGACCUGUAACCUGUCAAGUCUCAGUCACAAGAAAUACUCUCAUGAAAUAUUUUUGGAAAGAUAUAAUUCAGACAUUAUUCUGGAGCUGCACUGUCCAGACUGGAACCAUAAGCCAGUAUGGCUACUUACAUUUCAAUGAGUGGGAAGGGGAGUUGAAUAUCAGUUCCUCAGUCCACUGGCCCCUCCAACAAGGGUGUGAACAUCACACCAGACAGUGCAGCUGUGGACCAUCUCCGCCAUCACAGGAAGUUUGCCAAGAACAAGGCUGCCUCUGAGAUGCCCUUGGGUCACUCCAGGUGACUCAUGAGCUCAUACAAGGGCAGCACAGAGAGGUAGUGUUUUUGUCUUUAGCUUGCAGUGGAGGAACAUCACAGAAAAACAGCCCUGUUCACUCAUGAUGGUGACGGAAGGCUCUUGUCACCCAGUCUCUUACAUAGUGUCUUCUUUGAUGAACAUCCUUGAAAGAAAUCUUAUUCUUCAUGUCAGAGAAAGCCAAGGUUCUCUUAAAGGUUGGGUUGUUUUCAUCUUGUGGUUACUGUGAUUCUGGAAGUUGACUGCAUUUGUCUUCCUGUCUUCUUGCAACACUGAGAGCCAGGUCUGAAGACCCCUUCCGGAACCCAGUAGGACCCCAUGCUAUGCGUUUCUCCCCAGCCCCUGUGUAGGAAGGAGGGGGAGGUUUCAGCCCUCAUUUCCUUUCUAUGUUUUAUUUUAUGUUUUUGAGUUGCACAUAUUUUUUAAACUUCACAAAUUCUUCCUAAAAGAGAAGUAAAAUGUAAGUAGUACAUAGAACCAUGACAGACAUAGGGUUAGACUUGCAUGCAUGCACUCACCAUUCAUGCCCAACACAGAUACAUGUCCCUGGGAUGAGAGCAUUAACAAAAA
Molecule: long non-coding RNA, 3903 nt
Filed under: Heterocephalus glaber (naked mole-rat)
Lineage: Eukaryota; Metazoa; Chordata; Mammalia; Rodentia; Bathyergidae
Description: lncRNA (ENSHGLG00000039389.1)
Source: RNAcentral